RNAcentral lists this ribosomal RNA (203 nucleotides) under uncultured bacterium. Its description in RNAcentral is "partial 16S ribosomal RNA". It matches the Rfam family "Bacterial small subunit ribosomal RNA", at positions 28 to 233 of the family's 1533-position model. The record is from RNAcentral.
GACGAACGCUGGCGGCGUGCUUAACACAUGCAAGUCGAGCGGUAAGGCCCUUUCGGGGGUACACGAGCGGCGAACGGGUGAGUAACACGUGGGUGACCUGCCCUCAGCUCUGGGAUAAGCCUGGAAACCGGGUCUAAUACUGGAUAUGACUCCAUGACGCAUGUUGUGGGGUGGAAAGCCUUGUGCGGCUGAGGAUGGGCCCG